Molecule: ribosomal RNA, 279 nt
Filed under: uncultured bacterium
Lineage: Bacteria
Description: partial 16S ribosomal RNA
Rfam family: Bacterial small subunit ribosomal RNA
Source: RNAcentral
UGCCAGCCGCCGCGGUAAUACAGAGGGUGCAAGCGUUAAUCGGACUUACUGGGCGUAAAGGGCGCGUAGGUGGUGAAUUAAGUCAGAUGUGAAAUCCCAAGGCUUAACCUUGGAAGGUCAUUUGAAACUGGUUGACUAGAGUAGAAGAGAGGGAAGCGGAAUUUCCGGUGUAGCGGUGAAAUGCGUAGAUAUCGGAAGGAACACCCGUAGCGAAGGCGGCUUCCUGGCUUCAUACUGACACUGAUGCGCGAAAGCGUGGGUAGCGAACAGGAUUAGAUA